This is a non-coding RNA of Epinephelus lanceolatus (giant grouper), 208 nucleotides long. The record is from RefSeq and is a predicted model, not a curated record. NCBI's taxonomy places the organism in Eukaryota, Metazoa, Chordata, Actinopteri, Perciformes, Serranidae.
GUGAUUUGUUGUGCUGCUGGAUUAAUCACCGUCACUGGAGUCGUCCUCGGGCUCACUCUCAGAAAGUGUUAUUGCAGAUACAAUUCACGGUCAGGAUCAUCCGUCUGUGAAACCCCCGUCUCUGUGGACAAAGAUGAGCGAGAUGAUCCCUACACAAGCCUUGAGCAGUCAGGAAGCGGCCUCUACGAGACUAUGUCCCCAGUGCACC